CUACGUGCCAGCAGCCGCGGUAAUACGGAAGGUCCUGGUGUUAUCCGGAUUUAUUGGGUUUAAAGGGAGCGUAGGCCGUAGAUUAAGUGUGUUGUGAAAUGUAGACGCUCAACGUCUGAAUUGCAGCGCAUACUGGUUUCCUUGAGUACGCACAACGUUGGCGGAAUUCGUCGUGUAGCGGUGAAAUGCUUAGAUAUGACGAAGAACUCCGAUUGCGAAGGCAGGUGUCCGGGCUGCAACUGACGCUGAGGCUCGAAAGUGUGGGUAUCAAACAGGAUUAGAUACCCUGGUAGUCCACACAGUAAACGAUGUAUACUCGCGGUUUGCGAUAGACAGUAAGCCGCCAAGCGAAAGCAUUAAGUAUACCACCUGGGGAGUACGCCGGCAACGGUGAAACUCAAAGGAAUUGACGGGGGCCCGCACAAGCGGAGGAACAUGUGGUUUAAUUCGAUGAUACGCGAGGAACCUUACCCGGGCUUGAACUAACGGUGACGAAUCUAGAGAUAG
RNAcentral lists this ribosomal RNA (507 nucleotides) under uncultured bacterium. Its description in RNAcentral is "bacterial SSU rRNA". It matches the Rfam family "Bacterial small subunit ribosomal RNA", at positions 501 to 1009 of the family's 1533-position model. The record is from RNAcentral.